Molecule: long non-coding RNA, 1403 nt
Filed under: Pogona vitticeps (central bearded dragon)
Lineage: Eukaryota; Metazoa; Chordata; Lepidosauria; Squamata; Agamidae
Description: lncRNA (ENSPVIG00000003675.1)
Source: RNAcentral
UUACUGGAAACAGUGGAACCCACACAUGCUUGUGGGGCAAUAUUCUUGUGUAUAAGAGGCUAUGCUGCUGAAUCUUUCCAUCUUUUUGCUUUUGCAGAUACUUUGUUACCUGGAUCCCAACUACAGAAAGCUGCAUCUACUGGCUUUCUCCCAAGAUUGGGGCCUCCUAGUCCAGCACUCACACCACAAUACCAAGUUGGCUCUCAGCUCAGAAAGGCACGAGAUUCCUGUUAUUCCUGCCUUUGGUUGUGAGGCAAAAGGAGGACUCUGUGUCUCUAAGGGCUUGAUCAGUGGAUACUUUGGGGGACAAAUUCUUGAAGGAACUCCUACCACGGGCUGUAUCAGACUCUUCAAAAGCCAUUUUAAAAAUGGAAACAGAAAGUGUCUAGAUGAAGACUUUUGAUUUGGAGUUUUGUAAUUUCUUGUAUUAGGUCGCCUGCAAAUCCCUUAAAGUAAAAACGACAGAAAUAGACCACUUUUGGAAUGUAGUGGGGAAAUGCAUUGUUCUUUUUCCAUACUUUUAAACCUCUUGAGGGCUCUGGAAUGGCCCAGGGGGCUUCAAAAAUGGCCCUCGGGCUCCCAUGCAGCCUGAGGAGCACACAAGGCAUAUGUCUGCCCUAUUCUGCAGAUUUCUUCAUCUACUCAGUGCCUUUAUUUUCCUCAACAGAAACGUUAGAGUAAGAUUAGGUGGGUGGUGAGGUAACUUCAUUUUUCUCUCCCAUCAGUUGUGAGAAGGAGGAGCCCUUUCAGAAUCCUGUGGCUUUUCUUCCUCAUGUUCAGUGGAAGUUCUGGGAUGUCUCCGAUAGAAAUACUGUUUGAGCUAAAAAUAUGAAGCAGUUCAGAAGCGAGGCAGAGUGCCUGCACAGAUUGACCCUGGUCCUAAAGGGAACAAGAAAAAGGCUGUUUUUACUCAUUGCAUAGCAAAUCACAGUCAAACCAGCAAAGCCUCUUUCUUGAUAGCCCAGCCUCUGUUUCUUUUCCUGCUGAUUGGACCAGACACAGGGUUACUCUUAGAGACCAUGAAGUAGAGUGGGAGAAGAAGGUUGAUGUUCAUGAAGGAGACGGUUGAAUCAGUGUGGUUGUGAGGGGUGGCGAUCUCCCUCCUAUGUGUUAUCAAUUUCCCUCCUUUACACCAAUUGCUCAUCUGUUCAGUUUGAGGAGUUCUCGACACCUUCUUCCAUAUUCAACACCCUGGAUAAUUUGAUAUCAGACACAUAUGAUAGCACGUAUAGAUGGGCACGAACUGCAGUCCUGUGGUUUGACCCAGUUUGAUGCAGUGCAGGCACAGGUGUUCCAUGUGCACUGCACAAUCCCCUCUCCCACCUCGUCUACAUACUGACCCAUUCCCGGCUGAAGCACACUUCUCUUCCCCCACCUCCUCAACACCUUUAUCCACCCACCAA